RNAcentral lists this ribosomal RNA (273 nucleotides) under uncultured bacterium. Its description in RNAcentral is "partial 16S ribosomal RNA". It matches the Rfam family "Bacterial small subunit ribosomal RNA", at positions 524 to 796 of the family's 1533-position model. The record is from RNAcentral.
UACGUAGGUGGCAAGCGUUGUCCGGAUUUACUGGGCGUAAAGGGCGUGCAGGCGGUUUGUUUAGUGCAGGGUGAAAGCUCCCGGCUUAACUGGGGGAGGUCCUUGCAUACUGGCAGACUUGAGGGAGGCAGAGGAAAGUGGAAUUCCCGGUGUAGUGGUGAUAUGCGUAGAUAUCGGGAGGAACACCAGUGGCGAAGGCGGCUUUCUGGGCCUUACCUGACGCUGAGACGCGAAAGCGUGGGGAGCGAACCGGAUUAGAUACCCCAGUAGUCC